This is a long non-coding RNA of Glycine soja, 761 nucleotides long. RefSeq lists it as uncharacterized. The transcript has 2 exons. NCBI's taxonomy places the organism in Eukaryota, Viridiplantae, Streptophyta, Magnoliopsida, Fabales, Fabaceae. The record is from RefSeq and is a predicted model, not a curated record.
CUCUCCCCCCCCCCCCCCCCCCCCAACCCUCCAUUGGUUCCACAAAUGCUUGAACUUCUUUGAGGUUCUAUUCUGCCACCACAGAGAGUGGUUUCCUCUUCAAUCCUCACCUUCAGCCUUGGGUCAAAUGUCUUUGUUUCCCCUACCUGGAUAACUUCUUUUAUAUCUGUCUGUAGCCUCCAAGGCUCCAAGCUGCCGGUGCAUUGAUCAUCCUGAGAGCUAAUGGUUCAAAGAUUGUUUUCCAUGGUUCUGCACUUCUGCUUCUUGAUCGCUAGACCUUCAUCUUCCCCUUUAUUUUCUUGCACCCAAGAACAAGAACCUUCAUCUUCUCCCGUGUUUUCUUGCACCCAGUUUUCCUGUUUCUCAUCCUAAAACAGAUGCCAAUAGAUUUAGAUCGUAUUCCGGAUGUAACCAUUUGAGCUCUGGGUUCUCAAAGGUCCACCAUGUCUCUUUCUAACUGCACCAUUUCCACUCUAGCCACAACUCGGGAGCGCCUCCUCUUAGAGCCCUCACAACCUUUGAUAGCCUCUCUUCCAUAUGGAUGUUCCAAAGGCACCAGAAUACUGCUGAAUGCUAGUCGUUGUGCAACAUUUGAACUACAACAAUGUAUGGGGAUUUUAUGUGUUGAGAAUUUUAUAUUGUGAUAAUUGUUAUUUUAGUUAUUUAUAAUUUUAAAAAAUAUAAAAAUUCAAGUUAGAAUUAAGGAUAUUGUAAUAUAAUUUUAUCCUGUCAGUUAAUAAAAGUCUUUACUUUAGGUCCUA